RNAcentral lists this ribosomal RNA (405 nucleotides) under uncultured bacterium. Its description in RNAcentral is "partial 16S ribosomal RNA". It matches the Rfam family "Bacterial small subunit ribosomal RNA", at positions 28 to 526 of the family's 1533-position model. The record is from RNAcentral.
GAUGAACGCUGGCGGCGUGCCUAAUACAUGCAAGUCGAGCGAUGCGGGGACGGGUGAGGAACACGUGGAUAACCUCCUCUAAGACUGGGAUAACUGCGGGAAACCGGAGCUAAACCGGAUAUUUGUAGAUGGAUCCGCGAUGGAUUAGCUAGUUGGUAGGGUAACGGCUUACAAAGGCAACCAUGCAUAGACGACCUGAGAGGGUGAUCGGCCAAACUGGAAUUGAGACACGGUCCAGACUCCUACGGGAGGCAGCAGUAGGGAAUCUUCCGCAAUGGGCGAAAGCCUGACGGAGCAACGCCGCGUGAGUGAUGAAGGUUUUCGGAUCGUAAAACUCUGUUAUUAGGGAAGCGGUACCUAAUCAGAAAGCCACGGCUAACUACGUGCCAGCCGCCGCGGUAAUUC